UACGUAGGGUGCGAGCGUUGUCCGGAAUUACUGGGCGUAAAGAGCUCGUAGGUGGUUUGUCACGUCGUCUGUGAAAUUCCGGGGCUUAACCUCGGGCGUGCAGGCGAUACGGGCAAUACUUGAGUGCUGUAGGGGAGACUGGAAUUCCUGGUGUAGCGGUGAAAUGCGCAGAUAUCAGGAGCAACACCAAUGGCGAAGGCAGGUCUCUGGGCAGUUACUGACGCUGAGGAGCGAAAGCAUGGGUAGCGAACAGGAUUA
RNAcentral lists this ribosomal RNA (258 nucleotides) under uncultured prokaryote. Its description in RNAcentral is "partial 16S ribosomal RNA". It matches the Rfam family "Bacterial small subunit ribosomal RNA", at positions 524 to 780 of the family's 1533-position model. The record is from RNAcentral.